CCUACGGGAGGCAGCAGUGGGGAAUAUUGCACAAUGGGGGAAACCCUGAUGCAGCGACGCCGCGUGAGUGAAGAAGUAUUUCGGUACGUAAAGCUCUAUCAGCCGGGAAGCAAAAAAGUCCUUUGGACUUUGGACGGUACCUGACCAAGAAGCCCCGGCUAACUACGUGCCAGCAGCCGCGGUCAGACGUAGGGGGCAAGCGGUAUACGGAUUUACUGGGUGGAAAGGGAGCGUAGACGGGAGCACAAGUCUGGAGUGAAUUGCCGGGGCCCAACCCCGGAACUGCUUUGGAAACUGUGCAGCUGGAGUGCAGGAGAGGUAAGCGGAAUUCCUAGUGUAGCGGUGAAAUGCGUAGAUAUUAGGAGGAACACCAGUGGCGAAGGCGGCUUACUGGACUGUAACUGACGUUGAGGCUCGAAAGCGUGGGGAGCAAACAGGAUUAGAUACCCUAGUAGUC
Molecule: ribosomal RNA, 457 nt
Filed under: uncultured bacterium
Lineage: Bacteria
Description: partial 16S ribosomal RNA
Rfam family: Bacterial small subunit ribosomal RNA
Source: RNAcentral